This 430-nucleotide ribosomal RNA is filed under the name uncultured alga. RNAcentral's name for it is "bacterial SSU rRNA". It matches the Rfam family "Bacterial small subunit ribosomal RNA", at positions 28 to 486 of the family's 1533-position model. The record is from RNAcentral.
GAUGAACGCUGGCGGUAUGCUUAACACAUGCAAGUCGUACGAAGUGCGAUGGGGUUUACUCUAUCGUAUGGCAGUGGCGGACGGGUGCGUAACGCGUAAGAACUUACCUUUUGGCGAGGGACAACCCGCGGGAAACUGCGGCUAAUACCUCAUAGAGCUGAGGAGCGAAAGGUGAAAACCACCAAAAGAGAGGCUUGCGUCUGAUUAGCUAGUUGGUGAGGGUAAUGGCCUCCCAAGACGACGAUCAGUAGCUGGUCUGAGAGGAUGAUCAGCCACACUGGAACUGAGACACGGUCCAGACUCCUACGGGAGGCAGCAGUGAGGAAUUUUCCGCAAUGGGCGCAAGCCUGACGGAGCAAUACCGCGUGGAGGAGGAAGGCCCGUGGUCGUAACUCCUUUCUCAGAGAGAACACAUGACGUAUCUGAGAAU